Harmonia axyridis is the source of this 468-nucleotide long non-coding RNA. RefSeq lists it as uncharacterized. NCBI's taxonomy places the organism in Eukaryota, Metazoa, Arthropoda, Insecta, Coleoptera, Coccinellidae. The transcript is spliced from 3 exons. The record is from RefSeq and is a predicted model, not a curated record.
UUUUGUUUUAUACGUUGAGUUCUAUUUUAAUUAUAUGAAAUGUCUGGGAGAUUAUAUUUCAGGUUGGUACCUGAAUGACUGAGUCCCCAAAAUCAAGGAAUAAAAUUAAAAAGAUUAGGUUUGACUAAGCCGUAAAGAAAUCAGUGUUAGGGGAGACUGGGUACGAAUAAAACAGGUGGCGGUUGAAACAAGGUGAAUAUGUCAAGAACUGUAUGUCGUGCAAGAAAAGUUUCAAAAGAUGAUCGAAGCGGAAGACGAGUCCGAAUUUGAAUUUCAAUAGCCCGCCAAUCUUCGCGAACUACAGUUCCUUGUAGUAGGCCCUAUUGUUAUUUGGUGAGCAAAAAUGCCAGAGGAAUGUGCAAGAAAAACUUCGCUGGGACAAGUAGACUCGUCGGUAUACAUAUAUAGCAGCGUAAAAGUCAUAAUUGUGAUUCUGAAAAAAAAUUUUAUUAUUCAUUAUUUUAGAAU